ACGAACGCUGGCGGCGUGCCUAAUCCAUGCAAGUUGAGCGCUGAAGGUUGGUACUUGUACCAACUGGAUGAGCAGCGAACGGGUGAGUAACGCGUGGGGAAUCUGCCUUUGAGCGGGGGACAACAUUUGGAAACGAAUGCUAAUACCGCAUAAAAACUUUAAACACAAGUUUUAAGUUUGAAAGAUGCAAUUGCAUCACUCAAAGAUGAUCCCGCGUUGUAUUAGCUAGUUGGUGAGGUAAAGGCUCACCAAGGCGAUGAUACAUAGCCGACCUGAGAGGGUGAUCGGCCACAUUGGGACUGAGACACGGCCCAAACUCCUACGGGAGGCAGCAGUAGGGAAUCUUCGGCAAUGGACGAAAGUCUGACCGAGCAACGCCGCGGGAGUGAAGAAGGUUUUCGGAUCGUAAAACUCUGUUGGUAGAGAAGAACGUUGGUGAGAGUGGAAAGCUCAUCAAGUGACGGUAACUACCCAGAAAGGGACGGCUAACUACGUG
RNAcentral lists this ribosomal RNA (496 nucleotides) under uncultured bacterium. RNAcentral describes it as "partial 16S ribosomal RNA". It matches the Rfam family "Bacterial small subunit ribosomal RNA", at positions 29 to 507 of the family's 1533-position model. The record is from RNAcentral.